This 468-nucleotide ribosomal RNA is filed under the name uncultured bacterium. RNAcentral describes it as "partial 16S ribosomal RNA". It matches the Rfam family "Bacterial small subunit ribosomal RNA", at positions 28 to 507 of the family's 1533-position model. The record is from RNAcentral.
GACGAACGCUGGCGGCGUGCUUAACACAUGCAAGUCGAACGGAAAGGCCCUGCUUUUGUGGGGUGCUCGAGUGGCGAACGGGUGAGUAACACGUGAGUAACCUGCCCUUGACUUUGGGAUAACUUCAGGAAACUGGUGCUAAUACCGGAUAGGAGCUCCUGCUGCAUGGUGGGGGUUGGAAAGUUUCGUCGGUUGGGGAUGGACUCGCGGCUUAUCAGCUUGUUGGUGGGGUAGUGGCUUACCAAGGCUUUGACGGGUAGCCGGCCUGAGAGGGUGACCGGCCACAUUGGGACUGAGAUACGGCCCAGACUCCUACGGGAGGCAGCAGUGGGGAAUAUUGCACAAUGGGCGGAAGCCUGAUGCAGCAACGCCGCGUGCGGGAUGACGGCCUUCGGGUUGUAAACCGCUUUCGCCUGUGACGAAGCGUGAGUGACGGUAGUGGGUAAAGAAGCACCGGCUAACUACGUG